RNAcentral lists this ribosomal RNA (253 nucleotides) under uncultured bacterium. RNAcentral's name for it is "partial 16S ribosomal RNA". It matches the Rfam family "Bacterial small subunit ribosomal RNA", at positions 524 to 776 of the family's 1533-position model. The record is from RNAcentral.
GACAGAGGCCCCAAGCGUUAGGCGGAAUCACUGGGCUUAAAGCGUGUGUAGGCGGAUCGUUAAGUGUCUUGUGAAAUCCCACGGCUCACCCGUGGAACUGCUGGGCAUACUGGCGAUCUUGGGCCAACUAGGGGCAGCCGGAACAAGCGGUGGAGCGGUGAAAUGCGUAGAUAUCGCUUGGAACGCCGAAGGUGAAAACAGGCUGCUGGGGUUGUGCCGACGCUGAGACACGAAAGCCAGGGGAGCGAACGGG